UACGAAGGGGGGCUAGCGUUGCUCGGAAUUAUUGGGCGUAAAGCGCGUGUAGGCGGCUUUGCAAGUCGGGUGUGAAAGCCCUCAGCUCAACUGAGGAAGUGCGCCCCGAAACUGCAGAGCUUGAGUGCCGGAGAGGGUGGCGGAAUUCCCCCAAGUAGAGGUGAAAUUCGUAGAUAUGGGGAGGAACACCGGUGGCGAAGGCGGCCACCUGGACGGUAACUGACGCUGAGACGCGAAAGCGUGGGGAGCAAACAGG
This 256-nucleotide ribosomal RNA is filed under the name uncultured bacterium. RNAcentral describes it as "partial 16S ribosomal RNA". It matches the Rfam family "Bacterial small subunit ribosomal RNA", at positions 524 to 776 of the family's 1533-position model. The record is from RNAcentral.